GUAACAAAUAACAAAAAACAUCAUUCCAAGUAUAAAUAAUGCAUCGAUCUAGUUAGAAGCAACUGAAUUCAUAAGUCAAAAUUCAUACUUCAAAAUGAAUAAUAAGUUUACAACUUACAUAGAUUGUAGCAUGCAUAUAUAAGAAAUAAACUUAACACUUAUGAUUAAAGCUUAUAUUACCUUAGAUGAAUAUGGAACAUCGGAGAAGUCAACCGGCCUUCAAGAAAAAGAGUUCAUUAGAGAAGUAAGAUUUCUAUAAUUUAAUUAAUGAAAUGUUUGAAAACCACAACCAGAAAGAUGUAACUCAUGGACCUUGAAGACUUUGUACCCGAUGAAUUGUAUUUCGUAUCUGCAAGAAAAAUUAGCUAUUAGAGAAACAAUACACAGUAAAUCAUUAAUGAAAAGAACAUAAACUAACAAUUAUACAAUAUUUAGACAUAAGCUGAUUUAAAAAGGCAAUAGAAAAGAAGGGUUGUGGAGAAAAUAAGGAGAAGCAUGCUGCAGGGAAGAACUGAAGCAUGAGGAGGAUGAUAUUGGAAAUUGAUUGUAUAUACCAUGUUUGAUAAGAAACGGGAGGUACAAUAAAAGCAUAGGAAUCAUAAUCGAUUCUUCUUCAUCUUAUUAAUAACCUCUGAGAUUACCAACUUCACAAAUUCCCCAGGUUUUGAUAGGAACAAAGAGAAGUGUGUAGUUAGAUAUCAAUU
This 704-nucleotide long non-coding RNA is filed under the name Nicotiana tabacum (common tobacco). Its description in RNAcentral is "long non-coding RNA (NTAB_LNC019631)". Lineage: Eukaryota; Viridiplantae; Streptophyta; Magnoliopsida; Solanales; Solanaceae. The record is from RNAcentral.